UACGAAGGGAGCAAGCGUUGCUCGGAUUUAUUGGGCGUAAAGGGUGUGUAGGCGGUUUGAUAAGUUAGAUGUGAAAGCCCAGGGCUUAACCCUGGAAUUGCAUUUAAGACUGUCAGACUUGAAGAUUGGAGAGGUUAGCAGAAUUCCCAGUGUAGAGGUGAAAUUCGUAGAUAUUGGGAAGAAUACCAAUGGCGUAGGCAGCUAACUGGCCAAAUCUUGACGCUGAGGCACGAAAGCGUGGGGAGCAAACAGG
RNAcentral lists this ribosomal RNA (253 nucleotides) under uncultured bacterium. Its description in RNAcentral is "partial 16S ribosomal RNA". It matches the Rfam family "Bacterial small subunit ribosomal RNA", at positions 524 to 776 of the family's 1533-position model. The record is from RNAcentral. RNAcentral also lists the same sequence under 1 other name.